Long non-coding RNA from Megalops cyprinoides (Indo-Pacific tarpon), 622 nucleotides. RefSeq lists it as uncharacterized. The record is from RefSeq and is a predicted model, not a curated record. The transcript is spliced from 3 exons. NCBI's taxonomy places the organism in Eukaryota, Metazoa, Chordata, Actinopteri, Elopiformes, Megalopidae.
GCCGACUCUUGUUUACAAACUCCCCCCACUUAUUUGCUUAAAUUGUUUUUAAUUUCUCAGCAAAAUCCAUGGAUUGGAAUUCACGUGGGGACGCCGAGACACGCACACGAACACAUUGGCAGUGUUUGUGGUGCAGAGUUCUCUCAAGGUCGGCUGGGUAACGAAAUCAAUAUCCGAUGUGAGUUCACGAAGUUUAUCAGCUUAUUCCUCCCUCUUCUUCCACUGUAGUAUCAUUUGCGGCUCUCUCUGAUCUUGUUGCAUUUUAAGUCGCGAGAGGGGAAAAUCUAGAGUACGCUAUACAUGAACUCGUUUCCUGUUGCCGCUUACACGACCGGGUGCAGUUUGCAGACGGAGUCACUACGCUGAAACUGCUGUACAGAGUGCUUCUGGGGUCUGCUGGCGAGGCGUUUCCCUGAGCUUACCUGCGUGUCAGGACAUGCCCAUCGCCCCUGGUGACUUUGUGAAUACCAACACAACACCCGGCCUUAACUACAAUCAUGGGAAUCUUCUGUGGAAAAGACGAAGCCGUGAUUGUCACUCAUAUGGGUGUGUCCGUCCGGCUGUGGCCCCUGCUGCUCUGGCCUCAUCACAGGCCGGUUUCUCCAGAUCCGCUGGGUGGAGA